AACGAACGCUGGCGGCAGGCCUAACACAUGCAAGUCGAGCGAGGACUUCGGUCCUAGCGGCGGACGGGUGAGUAACGCGUGGGAACGUGCCCUUUGGUACGGAAUAGCCCCGGGAAACUGGGAGUAAUACCGUAUGGUGUCUUCGGACUAAAGAUUUAUCGCCAAAGGAUCGGCCCGCGUUGGAUUAGGUAGUUGGUGGGGGUAAUGGCCUACCAAGCCGACGAUCCAUAGCUGGUUUGAGAGGAUGAUCAGCCACACUGGGACUGAGACACGGCCCAGACUCCUACGGGAGGCAGCAGUGGGGAAUCUUAGACAAUGGGGGCAACCCUGAUCUAGCCAUGCCGCGUGAGUGAUGAAGGCCCUAGGGUUGUAAAGCUCUUUCAGCUGGGAAGAUAAUGACGGUACCAGCAGAAGAAGCCCCGGNUAACUCCGUGCCAGGCAGCCGCGGUAAAGUAGACGU
Molecule: ribosomal RNA, 460 nt
Filed under: uncultured bacterium
Lineage: Bacteria
Description: bacterial SSU rRNA
Rfam family: Bacterial small subunit ribosomal RNA
Source: RNAcentral